Molecule: ribosomal RNA, 114 nt
Filed under: Pseudomonas aeruginosa
Lineage: Bacteria; Pseudomonadati; Pseudomonadota; Gammaproteobacteria; Pseudomonadales; Pseudomonadaceae
Description: partial 16S ribosomal RNA
Rfam family: Bacterial small subunit ribosomal RNA
Source: RNAcentral
GAACUGAAGAGUUUGAUCAUGGCUCAGAUUGAACGCUGGCGGCAGGCCUAACACAUGCAAGUCGAGCGGAUGAAGGGAGCUUGCUCCUGGAUUCAGCGGCGGACGGGUGAGUAA